GUGAAAUUGAUCAGAUAUAUUACGAUACAGAGCAGACUUUUUGUCCCCAUAACAUGUCCCCUGGCUACAGAAUAAAAGUUUUUCGCAAUGGUACAAUGUAAAUACAGUUUAUAAGUAAAGAAGAUCCGAGGUCAUUCCCCUGCUUAAGAUUUUGUUAGCAUUGGCAAUAUCAAUUGCCACUUACCUGGCUACUUUACAUAAUAUUUAUGAUACUUUAAAAAAAAGUUGUCGUGGAUUUGAAAUAUGACAUUGCUUGAGUGUAAGAUAUAGGCUGUCCCAGAAUACCUGAUACCUUUAAAAUUGAUAUAAAUUAGAUAAUGGCAAAGACUCGUAAAUUGCGACUAAAAUAGUAAAAGUAAAGUAAAAUCGUUUCCUACAAAAAAAAAGAACCAAAACAAAAAACCGGGAGGAGAACAUGCCUUUAUUGAAUUACGAAGUCACAAAAAUGCAAUAUAUUUCUUUGGUUGAACUGAAUAUUUUUUAAAAUGUAUCGGACAAGAGAGCGGGCAUCCUCCGUUUUAAUUAACCGUUUUAAAAUUCCUGGGGAAAAACAACUCAACAAGCAAAAGAUAUUUAGAGGACUUAGUGAAAAGACAUGAGAAAAUGGGAUCCGUACAGGGGUUGUACUUAUGUAAUUGACUGCAAAUAUUUGUCGGCAAAUGUUGCUCACUUGGCGUGUUUGUGACGUUAUCCAUGCAUCACACAUGUUGUGUAUCUCUUUGUAUAACUUACUCCUGUGCUUGUCAUUCAACGUCAAGUCGCUGACUCGCAGUGUAUUUCUCACCAACACAUUUUUUUUUACAGAAAAGACGAACAAGGCUGCUUCCCGUAUUAAUUAUUUUCGUGUCAGCGAAAACGCAUUGACCCAGUCAAGAUAAAAGCAUCUGUUUGAACCUGUGUACACACAUCUUCCAUGCACCUGAUUACGUACAUACAUUUAUGUACUUGUCAACAUGCCUAACAAGCUAAAGUAGGAGAUUGCAUUGAUCUUAUCAAGGAGAAAGCAGGAUCUCAUAACACUGUACAGAGGAUCCGAGUUCUGGACAUAGUGGAAGGGAAAUCAAGGUCUGGGAACACCAAAGUGAUAUUAAGACUUUGGAAAAAAGCUUUUCCAGUGGAAAUAUCUUGAUGAAUGAUAGAGGAAUGGAAAUAAAACUGUGAUAUUGCAAA
Long non-coding RNA from Magallana angulata, 1170 nucleotides. RefSeq lists it as uncharacterized. The transcript has 2 exons. Lineage: Eukaryota; Metazoa; Mollusca; Bivalvia; Ostreida; Ostreidae. The record is from RefSeq and is a predicted model, not a curated record.